RNA transcript from Gopherus evgoodei (Goodes thornscrub tortoise), 1679 nucleotides. It is a transcript of the gene named basic transcription factor 3, with no coding region annotated. The transcript has 7 exons. The record is from RefSeq and is a predicted model, not a curated record. NCBI's taxonomy places the organism in Eukaryota, Metazoa, Chordata, Testudines, Testudinidae.
GGCGCAUCGCGGCGCCCGCCCCCAGCUCCUUCCUUCCGGCCACCAUCUUGCGCCCCUCCGCGUGUGUGCGCUCAGCUCGGCGCUCCCCGCCCUGUCCUCUGCCAGGACAGAGCCGCUUCCGCCCGGGAAGAUGAAAGAAACAAUCAUGAAUCAAGAAAAACUAGCCAAACUCCAGGCUCAAGUGCGCAUUGGGGGAAAGGGAACCGCUCGCCGAAAGAAGAAGGUUGUCCACAGAACAGCUACAGCAGAUGACAAGAAACUUCAGUUCUCCUUAAAGAAACUGGGAGUCAACAACAUCUCUGGUAUUGAAGAGGUAAACAUGUUUACCAACCAGGGAACAGUCAUCCACUUCAAUAACCCUAAAGUUCAGGCAUCUCUGGCUGCUAACACUUUCACUAUCACAGGCCAUGCUGAGACAAAGCAGCUGACGGAAAUGCUUCCCAGCAUCUUAAACCAGCUUGGAGCUGACAGUCUGACUAGCUUGAGGAGAUUGGCAGAGGCUCUACCCAAGCAACCUGUGGAUGGAAAAGCACCACUUGCUACUGGAGAGGAGGAUGAUGAUGAAGUCCCAGUGUGAAUCAAGGAAUUGGCCUAAUACGUAUCAGGAGAGUGCAGAAGAAACCUCCUCUUCUCUUCCCACCGCACUUGUGUGGUAUAGCACAGAUCUUGUUGAAAAUUUUGAUGAAGCUUCAAAGAAUGAGGCAAACUGAACUAAAUGUCACUUUCUGAAUAAAAUUAAAACUUGAAAAAAGCUACAUGAGCUGCUAUUUUAUAUUGUGACUGCUUUUAUUUGUAAUUUUUUUGUAUUAUGUUUACUGAUCUGAUGAGGUCUAAAAUCUGUAAUAUUUCGAAACUCCUUGAACAUUGCAGCUCUUUUCUGUUAUUGCUUGUACACAAAAUUAAUAAUCUUUGCAGCCUGGUUGAACUGAACAAACCUAAAAAUUAGUAUAAAAUCAAAUUGCUAACAAUCUUUGCCUAUACAGUUAAUUUUCUGAGUAACUUGUAUACAAGCAAAAACCUGGCUUUAGUGAAUUUUGGCAUAUAAUAAAAGAUGUAAAAUUGAAAACUUGUUUAGUGUGGCUUUUAUUAGAAAAGCAAAUAUUUUUAAUUGGGAAAUAAUCUGGCCUAAAUAUUGAAUAAUCGUAUUCCUAGAAGAUCUUGCUUCUCUGCAAAGCAUCUCCCAAUUGCCAUGUCACAGAACAAUGCUGCUUCAACUGUUAGUUCUAGAAUUGAUUGUCAUAAGUUUGAAAUGCUGAUGAUUAAGCAGCGAAGCCCCCUGAUAGUUUUAGCCCAGUACAAUACCUGUUGGGUUUCAGGAACAUUUUUUUCUUUUGACCCAACGGAGUUUGAUCAAAAUUUCUUCUACACUCUGGUAUUACUUUGGUGCUCAGAUUGACAGAUAAAUCCAUAUUAUUGGUCUGUAAUAAAACUAAGGGUUGCAGAUAACUUGGGAAAACUAGGUAUUAGUGUCAAGUCUUGUGUUCAGAAAUUACAGAUACAGAAAAACCCAAUCCAGUGGAUUAUAGCAAAAUUAUUUUUCUCACUAAAACUGUCCCAAUAUCAAUUUUCACUUAAAUCACUAUAAUUACUGUAGGAAAGCUAGGCUGUACUAUGGAGUUUGGGAAAGGGAAAGAUUCAGUAGAGCUAAUGGCUGUUCUCUGAAAAGUGUUUUUAAAAAU